AGCACAUGUCAGCCUGUGUGUACUGAGCUGUUGAUGGCUGCUUAAAAGUGAGCUUUUUCAAGACUUGGGUGCCUGUGUCCUGUGGGAGUGUGAUGCCCUUACCAAUGAAGUUGAACCUUUAAGAUUAUCCCAAGUUCAUAAAUGGUGACAUUUUCAUCUGUGUUAUAAGUUCUAGGCCUCUGGUACUUUUCUCAUCAUCAAAAAAGAAAGCCUACAGGAUGGUCCAUAAGAUACUGGUUUCUAUCAGCAGCCUCCAUACAUGAUGUCUUCAAGGCCCACCCUCUGUAAUUUUCCAUACUUGGAGUCUGCUUACUGUGAAAGUGACCCGUAUCUCCUUGCUUUAUCCUUAGUUCUCCCUAUCAGAGUGAAGACAGAAUUUUCUCCAUUAUUUUCCCAGAGGUUUUUGUAUGUUUUGUUUGCUACUUUCAUCAUAGAAAUUGAGGGCAACUAGAUCAGUGAUGUUUUGGGUACACUUAAGUAAUUAUAUGUUUCUGGUUCUGCAUGUCCCUGGCUUAGCUGCCUAACUGUUCCCAAGCAGAUCAGUCUCAUUUUGCUUAUGACUGGCCUUUUCUAAGGUAACACUGGGAUUCUAUCCUAAGGAUCAAAAACUUGAGAAAUGUUUUAAGUGGCUGUGGCUUCAUUGACAAUGG
RNAcentral lists this long non-coding RNA (650 nucleotides) under Bos taurus (domestic cattle). Its description in RNAcentral is "long non-coding RNA NONBTAT002718". Lineage: Eukaryota; Metazoa; Chordata; Mammalia; Artiodactyla; Bovidae. The record is from RNAcentral.